This 1678-nucleotide ribosomal RNA is filed under the name metagenome. Its description in RNAcentral is "bacterial LSU rRNA". It matches the Rfam family "Bacterial large subunit ribosomal RNA", at positions 1167 to 2925 of the family's 2925-position model. The record is from RNAcentral.
AAAAUGUAACGGGGCUAAGCGUAACACCGAAGCUUGGGAUGCAGCAAUGCAUGGUAGGGGAGCGUCGAAUACGGGGUGAAGUCGCAGCGGGAGCAGCGGUGGACUGUAUUCGAGUGAGAAUGCCGGAAUGAGUAGCGAGAAUUAUGUGGGAAUCAUAAUGGCUGAAAAUCUAAGGUUUCUUGGGGAAGGUUCGUCCGCCCAAGGUAAGCCGGGAGCUAAGGCGAGGCCGAGAGGCGUAGUCGAUGCACAUACGGUUGAAAUUCCGUAGCCACCGAAACUUAAGCUAGAAGGACACUUGGAGCUAUCCAGACCCGGGCGUUGGUUGACCCGGGCGAAAGGGACCGAAAAUAAGUAGGGAAGCUGGAGAAUGACGAGGCGAGAAAAGUUCUAGUGUAUGCUAAGGUGCCCGUACCGCAAACCGACACAGGUAGAUGAGGAGAGAAUCCUAAGGCCAACGGGAGAAGGGUUGUUAAGGAACUCGGCAAAAUUACCCCGUAACUUCGGGAUAAGGGGAGCUCCCUAAGGGGAGCCGCAGAGAAUAGGCCCAAGCGACUGUUUACCAAAAACACAGGUCUAUGCUAAAUCGAAAGAUGACGUAUAUGGGCUGACGCCUGCCCGGUGCUGGAAGGUUAAGAGGAGGGCUUAGCGCAAGCGAAGGUCUGAAUUGAAGCCCCAGUAAACGGCGGCCGUAACAAUAACGGUCCUAUGGUAGCGAAAUUCCUUGUCAGGUAAGUUCUGACCCGCACGAAUGGCGUAACGAUUUGGGCGCUGUCUCAACAGCCCACCCGGCGAAAUUGUAGUACCGGUGAAGAUGCCGGUUACCCGCAACUAGACGGAAAGACCCCAUGGAGCUUUACUGUAGCUUAAUACUGAGGAUUGGUAAAUCAUGUACAGGAUAGGUGGGAGACAUGGAAGCCUGGGCGUCAGCUCAGGUGGAGUCACCCUUGGGAUACCACCCUUGAUUUACUGGUUUUCUAACCUGCGGCCGUGAAUCCGGCCGGGGGACACUGUUAGGUGGGCAGUUUGACUGGGGCGGUCGCCUCCUAAAAGGUAACGGAGGCGCUCAAAGGUUCGUUCAGCACGGACAGAAAUCGUGCAGUGAGUGUAACCGCAUAAACGAGCCUAACUGCGAGACCGACGGGUCGAGCAGUAACGAAAGUUGGAGUUAGUGAUCCGGCGGUAUGUGAGUGGAAAUGCCGUCGCUCAACGGAUAAAAGCUACCCUGGGGAUAACAGGCUGAUCUCCCCCAAGCGUCCACAGCGACGGGGAGGUUUGGCACCUCGAUGUCGGCUCGUCACAUCCUGGGGCUGAAUUCGGUCCCAAGGGUUCGGCUGUUCGCCGAUUAAAGUGGCACGCGAGCUGGGUUCAGAACGUCGUGAGACAGUUCGGUCCCUAUCUGUUGCGGGCGUAAGAGAUUUGAAGGGAGCUGUCCUUAGUACGAGAGGACCGGGAUGGACAGACCUCUGGUGCACCAGUUGUCCUGCCAAGGGCACAGCUGGGUAGCUACGUCUGGACGAGAUAAACGCUGAAAGCAUCUAAGCGUGAAACUCUCCCUAAGAUUAGAUCUCUCAUCCUUUAUGGAGUAAGGCUCGACGUAGACUAUGUCGUUGAUAGGUCGGAGGUGGAAGUGCUGCGAGGCAUGUAGCUGACCGAUACUAAUAAGCCGAGGGCUUGACCU